Molecule: ribosomal RNA, 429 nt
Filed under: Chloroflexota bacterium
Lineage: Bacteria; Bacillati; Chloroflexota
Description: Chloroflexi bacterium partial 16S ribosomal RNA
Rfam family: Bacterial small subunit ribosomal RNA
Source: RNAcentral
UGGGGAAUAUUGCACAAUGGCCGCAAGCCUGAUGCAGCCAUGCCGCGUGUAUGAAGAAGGCCUUCGGGUUGUAAAGUACUUUCAGCGGGGAGGAAGGGAGUAAAGUUAAUACCUUUGCUCAUUGACGUUACCCGCAGAAGAAGCACCGGCUAACUCCGUGCCAGCAGCCGCGGUAAUACGGAGGGUGCAAGCGUUAAUCGGAAUUACUGGGCGUAAAGCGCACGCAGGCGGUCUGUCAAGUCGGAUGUGAAAUCCCCGGGCUUAACCUGGGAUCUGCAUUCGAAACUGGCAGGCUAGAGUCUUGUAGAGGGGGGUAGAAUUCCAGGUGUAGCGGUGAAAUGCGUAGAGAUCUGGAGGAAUACCGGUGGCGAAGGCGGCCCCCUGGACAAAGACUGACGCUCAGGUGCGAAAGCGUGGGGAGCAAACAGG